Molecule: long non-coding RNA, 467 nt
Organism: Helianthus annuus (common sunflower)
Lineage: Eukaryota; Viridiplantae; Streptophyta; Magnoliopsida; Asterales; Asteraceae
Exons: 3
Source: RefSeq, a predicted model, not a curated record
GCUACAGUGCUACAACCUGUUUUCCUAAUUAUACUAACCCACCUCCUUACUUCCUUUUUCCUUUUUCCCUAAUCCACCGCAUUUCCCUUAGGGUUUACACUUGCUUCAGCCAACCACUCAAUCAGGCGUGCACAACCGAUCAGAGUACUAGCAGCUGCGUAAAUCGGUGAUCGGAACAACAGCAACAACGGAGAUAAGCAAAACAUUUGACGCUGCGUUUUUUAAGUUUCGGUGCGCAAAUCAGUGAUCCGAACAACACCAGUUCGGAACAACAGCAUGGUGGCAACAAUAAGUUCAAAUUCAGUUGUGUUGGUUUCGAAUUAGAUGCGCAUUAACAAGAUCGAGGAUUGCAAGUAGCCGCAGUUGAUGCACUACUGGAUAUAGAUCUACCUCACUCUAUAAAGACGUCUUUUAUGUUCAUCACCUCGAUAUGCAGUGAUCGGUACAACAGCAACAACGGAGACAAG